This 116-nucleotide non-coding RNA is filed under the name unclassified sequences. RNAcentral describes it as "Flavobacterium-1 RNA". It matches the Rfam family "Flavobacterium-1 RNA". The record is from Rfam by way of RNAcentral.
UCAAGGGCGUACAUAUCUUGCUUCUAGCAUUUCCCUGUACGUUAGCUAUGACCGCAAGGUAGCAAUGACGUUGGGCCAGUCAGCGCUGAGUCGUUUGAUCAACGAGCGCUGCUGGU